UACGUAGGGUGCGAGCGUUAAUCGGAAUUACUGGGCGUAAAGCGUGCGCAGGCGGUUCGUUGUGUCGGCGGUGAAAGCCCCGGGCUUAACCUGGGAAUGGCCGUUGAAACUGGCGAACUGGAGUGUGGCAGGAGGGGGUGGAAUUCCGGCGUGUAGCAGUGAAUGCGUAGAGAUGCGGAGGAACACCGAUGGCGAAGGCAGCCCCCUGGGCUAACACUGACGCUCAGGCACGAAAGCGUGGGGAGCAAACAGG
This 253-nucleotide ribosomal RNA is filed under the name uncultured bacterium. RNAcentral describes it as "partial 16S ribosomal RNA". It matches the Rfam family "Bacterial small subunit ribosomal RNA", at positions 524 to 776 of the family's 1533-position model. The record is from RNAcentral.